GACGAACGCUGGCGGCGUGCUUAACACAUGCAAGUCGAACGCUGAAGCUUGGUGCUUGCACUGGGUGGAUGAGUGGCGAACGGGUGAGUAAUACGUGAGUAACCUGCCCUUGACUCUGGGAUAAGCCUGGGAAACUGGGUCUAAUACUGGAUACGACAUGCCACUGCAUGGUGGUGUGUGGAAAGGGUUUUACUGGUUUUGGAUGGGCUCACGGCCUAUCAGCUUGUUGGUGGGGUAAUGGCCUACCAAGGCGACGACGGGUAGCCGGCCUGAGAGGGUGACCGGCCACACUGGGACUGAGACACGGCCCAGACUCCUACGGGAGGCAGCAGUGGGGAAUAUUGCACAAUGGGCGGAAGCCUGAUGCAGCGACGCCGCGUGAGGGAUGACGGCCUUCGGGUUGUAUACCUCUUUCAGCACGGAAGAAGCGAGAGUGACGGUACGUGCAGAAGAAGCGCCGGCUAACUACGUG
RNAcentral lists this ribosomal RNA (472 nucleotides) under uncultured bacterium. RNAcentral describes it as "partial 16S ribosomal RNA". It matches the Rfam family "Bacterial small subunit ribosomal RNA", at positions 28 to 507 of the family's 1533-position model. The record is from RNAcentral.